Molecule: ribosomal RNA, 301 nt
Filed under: uncultured bacterium
Lineage: Bacteria
Description: partial 16S ribosomal RNA
Rfam family: Bacterial small subunit ribosomal RNA
Source: RNAcentral
CAGCCGCCGCGGGAAAACGUAGGUGGCAAGCGUUGUCCGGAAUUAUUGGGCGUAAAGGGCUCGCAGGCGGUUUCUUAAGUCUGAUGUGAAAGCCCCCGGCUCAACCGGGGAGGGUCAUUGGAAACUGGGAAACUUGAGUGCAGAAGAGGAGAGUGGAAUUCCAUGUGUAGCGGUGAAAUGCGUAGAUAUAUGGAGGAACACCGGUGGCGAAAGCGGCUCUCUGGCUUGCAACUGACACUGAGGCACGAAAGCGUGGGGAGCAAACAGGAUUAGAUACCCGCGUAGUCCCUGUCUCUUAUAC